GACGGAGGAUGCAAGCGUUAUCCGGAAUGAUUGGGCGUAAAGCGUCCGCAGGUGGCAGUUCAAGUCUGCUGUCAAAGACCGGGGCUUAACUUCGGAAAGGCAGUGGAAACUGAACAGCUAGAGUAUGGAAGGGGCAGAGGGAAUUCCUGGUGUAGCGGUGAAAUGCGUAGAUAUCAGGAAGAACAUCGGUGGCGAAGGCGCUCUGCUGGACCGCAACUGACACUCAGGGACGAAAGCUAGGGGAGCGAAUGGG
RNAcentral lists this ribosomal RNA (253 nucleotides) under uncultured bacterium. Its description in RNAcentral is "partial 16S ribosomal RNA". It matches the Rfam family "Bacterial small subunit ribosomal RNA", at positions 524 to 776 of the family's 1533-position model. The record is from RNAcentral.